Molecule: long non-coding RNA, 41032 nt
Filed under: Prunus persica (peach)
Lineage: Eukaryota; Viridiplantae; Streptophyta; Magnoliopsida; Rosales; Rosaceae
Description: long non-coding RNA (PPER_LNC001445)
Source: RNAcentral
UGGCAUGGUCUGGUCUGUUUUGCCUGAAAAUUUUCACUUUCAAAUAUGGUGAUUUCAUUUUGAGACGAGACAUUAGUUUCAAGAUACCAUUUUGGUUGGUUAUCUAUCUUUAAUCCAGGGAAAGAAAAAGGAAAAAAGAAAACUGAUGAUGGCCUCGAAGCUGGUUCAAUUGCAAGGCAAGGCUACUCAAGCUUCAAAGGUUGCGGCUGAGUAUGGAUCUUCCUAUUACAAGCAGCUUUUGGAGAAGAACAGGCAUUACAUUCAGGAGCCACCCACUGUUGAAAGAUGCAACCUUUUGUCCAAACAGUUGUUUUAUACCCGUCUUGCAAGGUAAACCUUGCUUGGCUUGCCCUGUCUGAUUUCAAGAAGAUUUCUAUUAGAGACACAUUGCUUGGCUUGCCCCCUUGAUCUCUAUCAUUAUCUUUUACAGUAUACCGGGGCGCUAUGAAUUGUUGCGGAAGGAGGUUGAUUCUGUCAAACAACUGUGGAAGAACAGGCAGGAGCUGAGGGUGGAAGAUGCUGGGAUUGCUGUCCUGUUUGGCUUAGAAUGCUUUGCCUGGUUUUGUGCUGGUGAAAUUGUAGGUCGGGGAUUUAAAUUCACUGGUUACCAUGUCUAGGUUCCGGAUGGCCUUGAUCUAAUUAGUUGAUUUUGUUUUCUAUAUUUAGAUUCAUUGUUAUCAGAGAGAUGAAACUCAGAGGAACGAAUUUAUUAACCCAUCAACCAUUCUCCAUUUUAAUGUUAUAUCUAUCUACUGCGCACGCACCAUUAUGCUUUGUAUGCACCUUAUCUAGAAUUGCACUUGAAAGAUCCCAAUUUGUGGACUUUCUUAGACAUACUAGAUUCAAUGUUCAAUUAAUCUUGGCUCUCUCUCUCUGGGAAGCGACACUCUAGUUUUUCAAAUUAUUGGAAACCACCAUAAAACGAUGAUACUCAGUCUUCAGAAUCUAUGCUUUCAUAAAUCAAAGCAACGUUCACCAAAAUUAUUACAAAAAGAAUAUUAAAAAAAAAAUAAUACAUAUCCUGGAUGAAGGCCUAAAUACAAAACUUCUCUCCUAAAGAUGUUGAGAGUAGGGAUCUUUUGCCUUUUAUCUUUCCGUGUUGUACGAGAAAGCCAGUAUAAUAUUGGGUAGUAAAAUAUCGUAAUAUCCUUUAAAUAAGGUGGUUCCUAAAUGCCAUUAUCAUUUUUGGUGAAAAAAACAAAAUGAACGCCAAGAAGGAACCAAAGAACAGUUUGAUAGCAUAUCUAGCAGGGUCGUGAUCAACUUCUUCUGAGGUAGUUCUUGGGGUUGACAUGGGUUUUGCCAGUGGUGCGGCUUCAAUUACUGCAUCUGCUAGAUCCAUAAUAAAUGAAGGAGUACAGCCAAGGGCAGGCACUCGGCCCCAAUUCUCAAUGCCGGAUUCGAGGGCCAAUUCCUUGUACUCCAUAUCAAUCUCUUCAAGAGUCUCUAUGUGCUCACUCACGAAGCUGGACAAGAAAUAGAUGUCAGAUUUACUUAAUUCUCUUUUGAGUGAUAUGAAGAACCGAAAAUGUCAGAACCACAAACCAAAUGGUAUUCUCUAAUAGCCCUAGAUAUACAAGACAUCAGAGUGUCAUGAUGAAGUGAAAUACCUGACUGGAACAGCUAGCAGACUUUUCACACCUUUCUGGCCAAGCUCCACAAGAACUUCAUCAGUAUAGGGCUUCAGCCAUUGUACAGGACCAACUCGGCUCUGAUCACAACCCAAGCACAAAAUAAGGAGGAAAAAUAAUCAGAAAACAACAUUUACACAAGUUGGAGCCCUACAUGGUAGACAGCAACCAACAAAAGUUCUGAGAAUCAAGAAAGCCAGAAAAGUAAAAGCUAGAACUCAGAAAAUGGACUUUUAUAACCAACCUGAUAAGCAAGAGUAUGUUCAUUGUUGAUCCCUCUAGAUUUCAACUCUUUCAUUAUUAAGAAGAUGCACUCCUCCAUUUGAUCUUUGUAUGGAUCUCCAGCAUCCUUCACAUAACUCUCUGGUACCCCGUGGGCACUGAAGAAUAUCAUGACCUAAAUUUCAUACAAAAUUAGUAAUGCUUACCAGUGCUGUUAAGUUAGUGGAAUAACCAUACAAUAAAUUUGAAAAAUAUGCUUGAUAGCAUCAUUUGACCAAAGAGAAACAGAAAUUUAAUUCCAUUGAAAGAGCCAUUUCAGAUGAGUCCGUGAAUUAAUCAAGCGCACCUGUGCAGGCUCAGAAAAUGUUUCUAGCUCUUUGGAAAUCAAAUCAGCCAUUGACUUAAUAUAGCCUUCACGUUGAUACCAUGAGUUUAUAAUAGAAACAGGCAACCUUGAUAGGUAGGCGUCUUUCCUGCAAGUGGGCUAACAUUCAGGAAAAAUUGAACAAUGUAUAAAAAUGUAUGUAGUUACAUAAAUUGACAGUGAAAUGUCACCUGAAAAUAUCUUGGAGCACACGAAUGCUUGAUCCGGUUGUAGAGAUAGAAAAUUGAGGAUAUAGAGGUAACACAACAAGCCUGGUUAUUCUGUCUUUCUUAAUCUGCGAAAGGUAAUGGAAGAAAUUUCAGUUAUUUGAUUCACUCAAAUAGAAGAUAGAUGUAUAGAUUGAAGACUUUUAGGUGACAAUUCUAUCUUUUCACAUCAUUUACAUUAACCAAAUCAAGUAGCUUACUCCUUGGAAGUAUUAAUAUAUGAUAUGUGUGUUAUACAUGUAGAAAUUAAAGACUCACUUGCUGAACUGCUUCCUCAGUGAAUGGGUACCAGUAACGCAUUCCCACGUAGACAUUUACAGGCAAGUCUUUUGACUUCAAAGCCUUUUUGAGUUCAUUUGCCUGUAAAAAGUAGCAAAAACCAUGUAAGUGCGAAAAUAAAAGAACAAACCAACAAAUAGUCUAUUUAAUAAUAAUUCUUGCAGAGCAGUUAUUCUUUUCUUUGGUAAGGAAACAAGACAGAUUAUACAAACAAAACUAAAGGAAACAUUUCAACCGGACAAGUCAUGUAUCUGCUCUACCUGCUCAUCUGUUAUUUUUCGCAACGGUGAACCACCUCCAAUAGCAGCAUACCCUUCUUUGCUUUUGGGAGCUCGAAGCACAGAAAUUAAUUUUGCCAAUGGUUGCUGGAGAAACUGAAACAACCUUGGGAGCCGGAUGAUAUCCUGGUUCACACAACAUGGCAAUUUAUCAGUAAAAGUGUGUAAACAACUAAUGGGGACACAGACUAGGCAAGUAAGCUUGAGUAGAACAUACCGGAUCCGCAAAUAGAUUGAACAAAAAUGGUUGAACAUCUUGAAGCGUCUCUGGCCCUCCAAGAUUGAGGAGGAGGACUCCCACUUUCUCUUCCGCAGUAUGGGAAUGAGAUUCUACCGUCCCAGCGUAAGUGUAUACACCCGCAGGACAUAAUGUUUCCCCAACAGGGCUUUUCUUACAAGAAUGUGAUACCCCAAACAUGUCUCCUUUAUCGCUUGGCGUAGAGCACGAAACCGUGAGCUGUUUCGGAAGUCGCAAUCUCUUGGAUGAAUGGCAAGAGUCAAAUCCAAGGGAUCUCGAGGAAGAGCACGACCUGCCACUAAAUACAUAUACACAUUUACUCAAUAUCUCAGCUCAACAGAAACUCCGAAACUUUUAAACCAAAACCCAAUUGCCAUAACUCAAAGCUUCUAUUUGGUGGUUGUAAAAACGUAAACUUUUAAUACGAUUUUCCGGGAAACAAGAAAGCCAUAGAAGAGAAAGCUUACGCUCAAGAAAUUGAAGGACUUUCUUGCAUAAUUUAUAUAAAUAUAUGAAUCUAAUACCAUAAAAGAGCCAACUUUACUGAUCCAAACACAAAAACACAGACAAUUUUUUACGAUCGGAGGGCUUACAUCGAUAAUUUAUGAUCCGAAUGGGAAAGCUUCAUUUGGGGAAGAACCCCGGAGCAUGAGGUGGCGUUCAUGGCGUUUGGCGUCCAAAAAAUAAACACAAACUUUUCUCAGAACCUUGAAGCGUAACAGAAACGUCUCAGCACUUCUUUAACAAAGUCGCUACCCUCUCUGUCUCUUAACUACUCUACUACCUACCUUCUCACUCUGCUACUAAUUCUAAUUUUUGGUUGAAUACGUGUUUGAAUAAUUGGACCAAAAACUAACGAAUACGUGUUUGAAGACUUCAACCCCCACGUCAGCGAGUCUAACCAAAAGGCGGUUGCCAUUGUUUACCCUUUUUUUACCUGGAAGUUCGCCGUCACGUGACGUCACGUGUUGAAAUAGUUGGGCCUGGGAAAGCUCAAAAUGAUGUGUUUAGCCCAAUAUAAAAGUCAGGCCCAACUAUUUCAACACGUGGGCUUUGAAAGUGGGCUUUGACUUGAUGCUUCUUCCUCGUACACGUUUAGGGUUAGGCAUCAGCACCUAUAAAUUCGUAGUUAGCUCAGUCCCUCAUGCCUCUUCUCUUCCAUAUCUGCCUACUUUUCCAUCUGGAACUCAAAAGCUGCCUGCAAUUGUUCUCCGUUACUUGGAUUACAGUGUUGUAUGAACGCUUCUUGGUAAUUAAAUUUCAUUUGAAUUAUAUAUAUUUGUUUUGGGUUCUGGUUUCUGGGUUGUGGGUUGUGUUUGUUUUCAGAAAUUGAAACCGGGGCUCCAUAUUCGAGUCAACAGCAGGCGCCCAUAUUGGUGGCGACCCGACUGCCGCUUGGAGCCGAUAGUAAAAUUAUAGUAGUGGGUGAAGAUCCUUGAAACUCAAACCCAGUUUGUUUCAUGACACAAUAUCCACUAUACAUUUUUUCAUCUCUCUGCUGUUUUAUUUAUUAUUUUAUUUUAUUUUUCUUAAAAUAAUUUGUUAUGAUUGCAUUUUUUUUAACUGGUAAGGUAAAAGUGAAGUAGGAAGAAGUGAAUUUUGGCACUCCAGUCAGACACGGGUGUUUGUUACUGAAUUACAAUAACAAUCAACCUUUUGCAUGGUGCCUAUAAAGAGCUACUUAUCACGAUUGGAGGAAAGCCAUUCAUUUUCCACGCUUUCCUUCAAAUUCAAAGCAGCUAAAUCUUCUUAAGUAUUUUCUGGUCUAGCUUUCAGUACAUCAAGCAAAUUGGUUUUUUUUUUUUUAAAUUACAAUCUGUUGGGUUUUGAUUCUUUUGGGUCCCUGAAAACAAUGGGUUAAAGACCAUAAUAAUGUUGAAUCACCAGAAGCAGAGAUUAAAGAAGCCUCCCUGUAAAUGAAAAUAAUGAAAGAGUGUUUUGGGCUCUAAAUAUACGAGUCAACAGCAAGAACCAAUUAAAUUCCAUGGUGCCUUGACUGCCGCUUGGAGCCAAUAUGAUAUUUGCCAAUAGAAAUUGUUUAGCUUGAAAUGCUCUCUGGUUUCAUGCUACAAUCUUUGGCUACAUUCAUUCAUGAUUCAACGUCUCACUUCUCAUAAUGGGUUAAAAUUGUAGUUUCAGUGGUUGGAUUUGAUGCCUUGUUCAAUUGUUUUGUGAUGCCUUGUCUAAUUUGCUGUUUCGAUGUUUGUGUGGUUGCAGCCUUGCAGAUUGCAUGUUAGACCCGUGAUUAUCUACAAAAGGCUUGACAAACAAAAACAACCAUGAGGUGAAGACUUGUUCAAGAUUUCGAAUUAUUCUAACGGUCCGACAGUUGUGUUGAACGUGAUGUCACUCCAUGAUUCAUCGGCAUCGGAUUCACUUUUGGAUUUUCCGAAGAGUCAAGAGUCACCAAUCCAAAAGGAGCUGAGGCCUAUUGGCCGAAAGGUGGCUAAGGCGAAGAGAAGGAGUAAUUCUUGCAAUAAUACAUCAAAAAUUUUGGAGGAAAUUGUGAGGCAUGGCGCCAUGAGAAUUGAAAUAGACAUACGCGCCCAAGCAAACGAGAGGACAAUUCAAGAAGAAUAUGCAAAAGAAAGGGAGUAUAUACGCAAAAAAAAUAUUGACAAGCAAGACCGGGAAACUAUGGCUAUGAAUACAAGCCAUAUGUCCCCUGAAACAAAACAAUUUUGGAAGUUAGAACGAAGGGAUGUUAUGAGAAGAAGACUCUUCCGUGAGGAUGGACCUAGCAACACGGAUUGGUUAAAUGAUCAAAAUCAUUAAGUUAGUUUGCUUGCCUUUUAUUUCAUUGUAUUUUAAUGUUUUGUAUUAAAGUAGUUGUAAUUCAUGUAUUUUAUUUAAUUAGUAGUAAUUCUAAAUUACUUGUAUUGGUUUUCUUUGAGUGAAUAAAGAAAGCAUUCAAGAAAAUACAUUUUUAUUCAACACAUUUCAUACAUCAAACAAAAUAUAAUUUUAAAAAAACCACAAUCAAAGCAUAAUUAAAAAAAAAAAUCACAACCAAAGUUUAAUUAAAAAUAAAACAUAAACAAGGCAUAAAUAAAAAUAUUCUAAAAGUUAAUUAUUUAGGUUUAAAAAAAAAAAAACCAAAAGUAAAUAGUAUUUGUUCUUCGCUAUGACAAUAUGUGAAAACACACAUUGCUUUUUGCAAGGGCAGCCACUAUUCAUGUAAAUAGUGUCUUCCCUAGCCCCCCCCUUGCCCUUUGCCAUGGCAAAUAGGUGAAAAUGCUCUUAUGUACUUGCAAACAAAAUGGACGAAAUAAAAAGAAUUUGAGUUUCAGUCAAUCAUGCUCGUUUUAUCAUUGCCAUCAAGUCUGUAGAGUUCCCAGCGAAGAGGAAUUAUUCAAUAACAACUUACCAACAAAACCUAAAUAUCGGCACAUAUCGCCAAUGAUUCAGGCAAAGCAACAAUAAGUUCAUUAUCAGAAAGGUUGUUUACAUCAUUGUGUAGUUUGAAGUCCUAGGUUUCAAACGCAUCACUUUAAUCUAUAUUAUCAUAACAGACUAAGGUCUGGAGCAGACAAAGGGAUGAAGAAAGUACAGCUGCAACCAACAAAAUCCACCUCAAGACUUCUCUUUUCAGAUUUUUUGGAUUUAAAUACUAGUACAGUCAUGAUUUAAAAUUUAAGAAUUCAUAAUCACAGGACAUCGGUUUCUAAGAUGGCACUGAUUGAAGAAUGAUCAGGAGUCAUUAAUCAGGUUCUGGUGUACAUAAGAGCAAGUCCAGCAGUGGGAGCUGGACUCGGGCUGGGGGGGAUUUGGGCAAAAAACGGAGGUCCAGCAGAGAAGAAGCAGCCCGGGCGAGCGUGGGGUCCACCAAACAGGGCAGGCCCGAAGGCGAUUUCGGUCCGAGCUCGGGCCCGAGGUGGAUGACGUCAUUGCUGACGCCAGCGUGACGUCAACCCUUACGGAUUCAAAUUUUUUUUACCGUUGGCGCGUGCACGCGCCAACGUUAAAAAAAAUUUCGAAUUCACCGCUACAGUAGCCGCCAACGGCUACUUGACACGUGGCAGCCUCUGGUCGCUCCGAUUCGAAUUUUUUCUUCAAUCCAACGGCAUCCAAUUUUUCUGCAAUAAAAAAUUGAAAAAAAAUCGAAUUUUUUUUUAAAAAAUACACAAAAAUUACUGAAUUUUUUGUGUAUAAAUACCAACCAAUACUCUUCACUUUUAAUACCAAAUCCUCAUAUAUUUCUUCUCCUUCUACUAUUAUUCACUUUCUCCUCAAAAUUUAUUUACUUUCUAUUCAAUAUUUUUUCACUUUGAAGUUGUAUUUUUUUUCUAUCAUAUUAUGGGUUCUUCUAAUGAAAAUGGAGGGGCAUGGAGCAUGAUGGAAGAUGUUAGCUUGUGUGAGGCUUGGGUCCAAGUUAGUUUGUCCCGUAACGGGCAAUGAGAUGAAAUUUUCUCAUAUGUGGAAAAAAAUUCAUCAAGCAUUUUGUGAAAGGGCAAUUGGUUCUACACGUACAGAAAUGACAUUAUCCAGUAGGUGGAAAGUUCUUAAUAAAGAGUUGGUGAAAUGGAGAAAUGCCUUAGCAAAAGCGAUGGACAAGCAUCGAAGCGGAGAAAACCUUAGCAGUGAGGUAAAUUAUUUGUCAUUUUCCUUCUAUUAAUUUCUAUGUCAUAUUAAUUUUUAUUUAAAUGUUUCUUGCAAUUUAUAUAUUUUGUUAAUAUGUCUCUAGUUUUUUUUUUUUAUAUACAUGUUGCAUUUUUUUUUAAAUUUAUUGAAUUUGCAUUAGUUUUUUUUUACAUGUUGCAUUGCCAAUAUUUUUUAAAGUUUCUUGCAUUUCCAUUUAAUUUUUUUUUAUAGAUUAUGCAAGCUCAAAUGUGGUUUGGUGCUACGGGGCAAGGGAAAAAAAGUUUCAACCAUACCCAUUGUUGGGAGGUGGUGAAGACUUGUAAGAGAUUCCAAAUUAUUCCAACCGGUUCGACGGUAGUCUUGAACGAGACUCCACUUCAUGAGACGCCGGCAUCGGAUUCACCUAUGGAUUCCCCGAUGAAUCUAGACUCACCCAUUGAAAAUGAGCUAAGGCCUAUUGGGAGGAAGGCGGCGAAGGCGAAGAGAGGGGGUAAUUCUAGCAAGAAUGCAUCUCAAUUUUUGGAGGAACUUUCAAAGCACCAAGCCAUGAGAAUUGAAAUGGACUUGAAACAACAAGAGCACGAUAUGGCUAUUCAAGUAGAAUAUGCAAAAGAAAGGGAGUAUGUACGCAAAGAAAGGGAGUAUGUACGCGAACAAAAUAUUGAAAAAAAAGAUCGGGAAACCAUGGCCAUGGAUACAAGCUAUAUGUCCCCUGAAACAAAACAAUUUUGGAAGCUAGAAUGAAGGGAUGUUAUGAGACGAAGACUUUUUCAUGACGAUGGACCUAGCAACACGGAUUGGUUAAAUGAUGGAAACCAUUAAAAUAGUUUUUUGCCUUUCAUGUCUUAGUUUACUUGCCUUUGAUUUCAUUGUAUUUUUUUUUGUUUAAUUCAUGUAUUUUAUUUUAUUAUUAGUUGUAUUGCUUUUCUUUUAGUCAAUAAAGAAAAUAUUCAACAAAAAUCCUUUUUAUUCAAAACAUUCCAUACAUAAAAAACAAACUACAACCAAAGCAUAAAAAAAAUAAACAAACCACAACCAAAGCAUAAAAAAUAUUAUCCGAAAAUAUUAUUCAAAUUAAUUGUUUAAGUAAACAAAGUUGUGAAAAAAACAAAAAAAUGAAUAGUAUUUGCCAUGGCAAGCCCCCAACUGCUGGAAACACAUUUUGCUGGAGGGAGCUAGGGCAGCCACUAUUCACGUGAAUAGUGGCUGCCCUAGGGCUCAUCUUGCCAUGGCAAGAGGCAACCGGUGGAAAUGCUCUAAGAAGAGCCAAAAACUACACUCAGCUAUCCUCAAAUUGCAGAAACCGAAACCAGAACCAAAUUUUAAGACUGGGAAAUGUCACAAAUUCGCAAGUAUCCUUAGAAGCAACAAGAACAAUCAAAUGGACAAAGCGGUGUGCUUCCAGCAUCUGCCUUAUUAAUUCCCAACUCUUCUUCUGUAUAGAUAGCAAAGCCAUCCUGCGUUCUCUUUCGAGAACUCGACAACUUGUUCAGAGCGGCCAUCCUGGCCACGUUUUGAAACUUUGAAUACCUAAUGAACAUCUUUGGGCAAGGAAUCCCCAUUUAAAAUUUAAUUGGAAUGAUUAACAAUAAAUAUCAUUACUUAACUGUACUGAAACUUAGAUUUUUAUUAUUUACGGAGAAUCAGAGGGAUAGCAGAUGGUAAAAUAAAACUAAAAAAGAAUAAGGUUUCCUUCAUUGUGCUCAAUUUUUAUAGUUUUCAUGUUCUAGAAAAUUAAACAUGGUUUUUGAAGCAGUACAAAAGGCAGUGAAUAAAUACCUUGUCUGGUACUCCAACACUCCUUGAAAAUUUUCGACCAAAUCCAACUCCUUAAAACUACAAGAAGACGUGUUUCAAGGCUGAAACGUUGAAUAUUUUCAAGUAACUAUGGGACAAGCUAAUAUGAAAGCAAUACCUGAAUGGCUUGCAUUCCUUGAACACCUGAAAACUCAAUGCCAUCUUGGUUGAUGAACCUAUUUUAAGCAAUGCAGUCUUGUUUUUAGUAUUUUCAAAUACAAAAAAUGCAAUGAAGUGAACAUUGAACACCUAUCAAAGACUGUUUUGAUAUUUAUUUUAUUCGAACUACACCAAUAUAAGAAAUCCGGGCCUUAGGUAGAAAAUAUUAAAGUUCAAACUUAUGCACUCAUCUUGGAAGUACUUGUUCCAUCAACACCACCAAUAAUUGAAAUGCUCUUGAUCUUGACAUCUGAUGUAAAUCUAUCAGAAAUAAAUGAACAAAAUAUAACUCAAUCAGAAUGUAAAGUAACGACAUCAGAGAUAAAUUCGUCUUAGAAUGGUAGGUUUUAAUAAAAUUUCUCAAGAUGCAACGCAAAUGUUUCAAAAUUAAGUACAGCUAGUUUAACAUCAGAUAUAGCAGAUGAGCACAAGAACAAAAGAUAAUUAUAAAUGACACAAAAAUUAAUUUGUUUUAGGUGAACCUGGGGAUGCUACUAAGGUUGAAUCCCAUACUCAAACUCAUACAGAUUUGACCAUGGAGAUCUAACAAAACAUGUUACUAUUGAAAUUGAAUGAAAAUAUGGAAAAAUGGGUAUAACUACUCAACCAAUGGAUCUCCCUGUCCCCAUCCAUUUCAUGUUUAUGCAUUCUUUAACUCAUGUCCUGAAGAUAACACAUAAAACAACAAAAAUGGAUACUCACAGAAUGUAAACAAGUAACUCAGGAUCACCCUCAUUGCUCUCCAAGUGUUCCUGUUGCAGAAAGUAGGAUCAGAUGAGGCUUCACAUGCCUAAUAAUUGAAACAUAAAUUAAAACCAAUAUAUAUAUGGUAAAUCUGAACUGAACCUCAACCAAUGGUUCAUGAUCUAAGGUCUGCUGCUGUAGACAAAGGGUGAAGAAACCUCAAGCCUUCUCUUUCAAAUUUUGGACUUAAAUACUUGGUACAGUCAUGAUCUAAAAUUAAAGAAUUCAUUAUCAGAGUACAGAGAGUUAUAAGAUAACACUGGCUGAAGAAAGAUCAAAUUCAUUUAACCAGGUUCUGUUGUACAUAAGAAAAGCCGAAAACUACACUCAGCUAUCCUCAAAUUGCAAAAACCAAAACCAGAACCAGAACCAAAUUCUUUUAUGACUAGGAAAUGUCAUGAAUUCACAGGUAUUUAGAAGCAACAAGAACAAUCAAAUGGACAAAGCGGGGUGCUUCCAGCAUCUGCCUUAUUAAUUCCCAACUCUUCUUCUGUGUAGAUAGCAAAGCCAUCCUGCAUUCUCUUUUUCGGUUUAGAAAGCAGGUCCCCAAAUCCACCAUCUCUAAUCCUUUUGUCUUUCUUCUUUUUAUUCAGCUUGUUGGGGUUUUCUAUCCCAUCUCCAUUUGGAUUUUUAGGCUUUUCAGACUUUUCGGUUUCAGGUUUCUUCCUCUUCUUCCCUGCGAAUAUUUCAUCGAUCUCAGAAGUUCGCUUUUUGGCUGAAGAUGAGUGUUUUUCAAUCCCAUCUUCAACUGGUUUUUUAGCCUUUUCAGUUUCAGGUCCCUUCCUCUUUUUCCCUGCGAAUACUUCAUCAAUCUCAGAAGUAGGUUUUUUGGCCGAAGAUGAGGCUUUUUCCUCUUCUACAGUAGAUGUAUUAUCUUGCAUCUCUCUGGGAGUUUUUGAUUUACUCUUUUUGCCCAUCUUAUGGAUCCAAAAGCUGCAUGUCAUCCAGAUUACAUUACUGAGAAUUGACAGAACAGAGAUUUAAAAAGAAAAAAUGGAAUGGAAACUUUCCAUCCAAGAACAGAUUACUCAAAAACUGGAGCCCCUGGAGGCAACAACUCCUUUUGGGUCAACUUGCCAGACUAACUCAGUUUGUAAACAAUCAAAACAACAGAAGGAACAUGAAACUGGAAAUUUAGGUUACAGGAUAUCUGCUCCUCAUUAGCUUCCUAGCAACCAAACAUAACACAAACGAAAAACAGAAAAUGGAAAAUACUGAUUUCAAUUGCAAUUUCUCAGCUUGUAGGCUUUCAAUUUUCAUAGAGACGAAUUUCUGUGAAACAUGGACUUGAUCAAAAGAAAUAGCCCAAUAAUUAUUACAAAAGCUCCAAUUUUGAGAACUCGACAACAUGUUCAGUGCUAUCGAAAAUUUGAUAAAUUUCAAACAAAUGCACUGUAAGUCACAGAAACAAACACAGGAUAGUAAAGAAAGAACGCACAGAAAAAUAAAAAAGAGUUCGAGUUGUUGGGAAGCGCUAACCUUUAGGUUGUUGAUAAACAGCGAGAAAGAGUGAGUCGCUAAAACACUAUCUUGAUGAAUCUGCAGAGAUACCAGCGAGCUUUGUUGCAGAGUUGCGAGCAACGAAGUAUAAAACCAUUUAUUUGUUUUUUGUUUCUGGCGAGCUUUUUAGCUAAAACCCUAGCUUGAUGUGGGAUAUAAUUCGUUCCCACGAUUUAUGAUUUAAAAAUAAUUUGGGUUUUGCAAUUAAAUUAGCCCAAUAAUAAUAAUCCCAUAGCCAAUCGGGUUUUGAUGGAAAAUGACAUUGACUUACAGUGUGUUUGGAUGAGGAAAUUUAAAAAUACAAAGAAUUUCAUAAAUGACGGAAUUUAAUGUUCUAGAAUUUACAAAGUUUCUUGUUUUGGUAAUGGAUUUAAAAUACGGAAUUUAACCUUUAUUUGUAAAGUUGUCUUUUUUAAAAACUCAAUCUCUCUUGUAAUUUUAAAAAUGACGACUUUUAGAUAGAAUUUAAAGUUGGGAUUUAUGAUCUCCAAAUUCUUUUUUUUUUUUCCCACGCUGAAUUUCUAAAUUUAUAUAUAUUUUUAUCCAAACACGAGAAUUGGUUCAUGGCAAUUUAGAAAUUCUAAAUUUUGUCAAAAUCCUAAGUUUAUUUUCCUCAUCCAAACGCACCGUUACAGAUAAAUAGCAAAUCAAUGGUCUCAUGUUCGAACCUUCGUGGCACCUUGAUAGUGUGUGUGAAAAACCUCACCCCUCUUGUAGUCGAGACUAUCACUUGUAUUCAAUAAUAAUAAUCCCAUAUGAAAAGGAGUUAAUUAUUUAAUAAAUGAAUCAUUUGGAUUAAUUUGGACAAUAUCUUAUUUGAACGAUUCUAUCAAAUUCCAAUCCAUUUUGUACAAAAUAAUAAGCUAAUCCAGCUCAACAUUCCAAUGGAAAAGGAAGAGAAUGGCUGGCUUUUUUUUUUUUUUGGGGGUUUGAGAAUGGCUGGCUUUAAUUUUAAGAGUAGCAUUGUGCAACCCAUAAAAAAGAAAGUCAAAGAAACAUAGCACAGGAAGAGGAGCCACAGCAAAUAAAAGGAUUGUGAUGUGACAACAAUUCAAGUAAUUUCCUUGGUGUUUAUAUUAUCGAUAUACAAAGAGUGUUCCAUUCUUAAGAAGCACAGCAGGUCAUAGUUAGCAUAACUUGUUCAUUUCAGCCUUUGAACUGCUAGCAUGGCUUGAGUUUCCUCAUUCCACAUGUGAAAAACCCCCACCUUCAGCCUUUGUCCUGCAAACAAGCACACAAUUGACAAACAACAAAACCACAUACAUCAGUUCUUUUCUCCACUGGUAAAUAGUCUCAAAUUCUUUCGACAAGACAUGAAACUCUACAUUUUUUUUACUGAUAAACCCACAAAAAGUAACCCACAUUUCUUUGAAAAAGACCAAAUUUUCCGUUCCUCAAGGAUAACGAAAGCUUACUUGUGAUCGGAAGGAUUUGGCCUGAGUUCAUAAACAAUUGUUGCAACAACAUCCCUCUUCAACUGUUCAUCAAAGAAAAGAAAAUGAUGUAUUAGUUAUUUGCACAAUUAACGCAACAGAAUAUGCUCAUAUGGAAUGAAAUUACCUGAGUAGCCUCGCCUUUAAAGCCAAUGUACUCUAUCUUAGUUGUAUCACCACCAAAACUAUCAGGAAAAUGCAAUGUGAUGCUGGCCACGUUUUGAAACUUGGAAUACCUAAUUAUACGGAGAAAUGUUACAUUAGAGGGAUAACAGAUGGUAAAAUAAAAAUCAAACAAAACAAAAAACAACAAAAGAACUCAUUUCAGUGGCAAUUCAAAGUAAUUUACCGUCACUGUUCAAUUUGAAAAAGAAUAAGGUUUCUUUCAUUGUGCUCAAGUUUUAUAGUUUUCAUGUUCUAGAAAAUUAAACAACAUGGUUUUUGAAGUAGUAGUACUCCAAAAGGCAGUGAAUAAAUACCUUGUCUGGUACUCCAACACUCCUUGAAAAUUUUCGACCAAAUCCCACUCCUUAAAACAAUAAGAACACAUGUUUCAAGGCUGAAACGUUGAAUUUUUUCAAUUAACUCUUGAACAAGCUAAUAUGAAAGCAAUACCUGAAUGGCUUGCAUUCCUUGAACAUCUGAAAAGUCAAUGCCAUCUCGGUUGAUGAACCUAAUUAAGCAAUGCAGUCAUGUUUUUAGUUUUUUCAAAUAUAAAAAAUGUGAUCGAUAUUGAACAUCUGUCAAAGACUGAUUUGAUAUUUAUUUUGUCAGAAUCAUAUAGAACAAGACUCGUGAUCAGUACUAUUAAAGUUUGAACUUACACCCUCAUCUUGCUAGGACUUGUUCCGUCAGCACCGCCAAUAAUUGAUAUGCUCUUGAUCUUGACAUCUGAUGUAAAUCUAUCACAAAUAAAUGAAAAAAAUAUAGCUCAAUCAGAAUGUAAAGAAACAACAUCAAAGAUGACUUCAUCUAAUAAGUUGGUGUCAGAAUGGUAUGCUUUAAGAAAACUUAUCAAGAUGCCGACCAAAUGUUUGAACAAUAAAUACAACUAUAUUAAGCAUCAGAUAUAGGAGAUGAGCACAAGACAAAAGGAUAAUUAUAAAUGACACACAAAUUAACAGUUGUGUUUUGCUUUAGGUGUACCUGGAGAUGCUACUAAGGUUGAAUCCCUUACUCAAAACUCAUACAAACCCAACUAUGGAGAUCUAACAAAAUCAGACACAUAUUAUCAUUGUAAUUGAAUGAAAAGAUGGAAAAAUGUGUAAAAGUACUCAACCAAUGGAUCUACCUGAUCCCAUGCAUUUCGUAAUUAUGCAGUCUAUAACUCAUUUCAUGAAGAUAUCACAUAAAACAACAAGACGGGACACUCACGGAAUGUAAACAAGUAACUCGGGAUCACCCUCAUUGCUCUCCAAGUGUUCCUGUUGCAGAAAGUAGAAUCAAAAUGAGGCUUCAUAUGCCUAGUAAUUGAACAUAAAUUACAACCAAAAUAUAAGGUAAACCUGAACUAAAUCUCAAUCAAUGAUUCCUACAAAUUUUCGUAAAUGUCAUUCUGAGCUUUCAAGUAGAUUAACUUAUGAAGUUUGGAUCAUUACUUUUAACAAGGACGUAUAGAGAAGUAAAUAGAUAGCUCAUUACCCCAGUAGAAUUCAGCCGUUGCUCCCAAGCUUUAAAAACCGACUUGACACUUCCUGGAACCGCCUCAUUCAAAGCCGAAACCUAAAAACAGAAUAAGACAUUCUCUCAAGGAGAACACGUCAUCAUGUCAAUCAGCAAGAGGAAGCUCCAACGAAAUAUUAAUUUACAAAAUAACAAAGUGUGAAAAUAUUGCAAAGUAUAAAUCACCCCACAUCAACAAUCAUCAAUUACCAGUCAUAUAGCCACCCACAACCAAACUGCCCAAACCACAACACACAAGCACCCGUCUCCCAAAAAAAAAAAAAAAAAAGUUUCUAAACAUUUCUGGAAACUAGCAAUAACAGCAUCUGCAUGGAGUAUCAUUAACAAAGCUUCAUAUCCAACUAUUUUCAUUUACAACCAAGAAGCCUACACAUAAGAACCAUUAUGCUUACGGAUAAAUGCUUAUGAGAUUCAGCAUUUGAGCUUGAGGGUUUAUGUUGAUCACUGUUCUUUCAACUAAUUUUCAUUUGGGCACUUCCAGAUAAAACCAAAACAAUCACAAAAUGGGAGCAGACUGAAACGUACCAGUAUACGCAGAGCAGCAGUGUGAUAGCUAACAACGAAAACAUAGGAAUAGAAAAAUUAAGACUGAGCAAAGAAAAAGGCAGAGAAAUAGGACCUUGGGGAGGUCUAUAUGCUUGUAGAGAGACCAAUCAGAAGAACAAUCAUGCUCUUCGCAGCUGUGGUCAUGUAAGCAAGCCAUCUCUCUCUUUCCCUGGAUCACCAAAUUUCUAAGAAGCAGCACAAAAAGGCGAAGAAGAAAUAGAAGCAACCAGAAAUAGGGAGCGAACCGUGGCUUUUUCUGUGCAUAGUGCCGAAAAGGCCCUUGUAUCGGUACAAUAAAACGCACCGUUUACCUGUACAUAUAUGUCCUUUUAGGCUUUUACUGUGAAAUGCAAACGAGACUGUUUUCGCAAAACUUUCUUCUUUGCUUUCAUUUGGGAAGUUCAGCUCUGAGCUCUGUGAGAGAUGGAGGAAAUAGUAGAAGGGGACGGGUCGGGUGCGGGCAGAUACACGCUGAGACCAACGAGGCUAAGCAACGAGGACAUUCUGUUCUGUAUAGAUGUUGACCCAGAGUCUAUGGUGGAGAUGAAAGCCGCGAUGGGCCCAAAUGGGCGACCUUUAACCCGCUUGGACUCGAUCAAGCAAGCCAUACUUGUCUUCAUCAACGCCAAGCUCACCAUCAACCCAGAGCACCGAUUCGCCUUUGCCUGUCUCGGAAAGUCCGCGUCUUGGGUAGGUUCUCUCUGUUCAUCUCUCUCUUUAUUGCUUGGUUUCUGUUCGGUUUCCGAGAAAAUUUGCGAUCAAGGGCAGAGGAUUUUAUGGUUAUUAUGUGUUUUUUAGGAAUUGAACUCCUGGAAACCAUGAUUAUGGCUUUGGGUCAUAGUUUUGAGGUUUUUUGUGAUAUAUACGGUUAUGGGUAGAUUAAAAUUUUCAUUUGCAGGAAAUGUAAGCAAUUGCGUGCCAUGAAUUUGGUUUCUGGAUGAAUCAAUGAAGGAAAAUUAGUUUAAAUCACUAUUUUCAAGUAGCCCAUUGUACAGAGUCUCACCAAGUCAAAAACGUUUUGAUAGCAUGAAAGAGUUUAGACAGAAGUGUGAAACCCACGAUACAAUAUGGGGUUGCUGUGCAUGUAUAUUUAUAAGAAGUACUACGUCGGUAAACAAGAUUUGGAUAUGAACACUACUACUGAGGAGGCUUAUCAGAGAAUACUAAUGAUGAACCCUUGAAAUAAAAUACAUGAUAAAUAUAAACAGAUAAACACGUGAGGAAACUAAGCAGGUAGCACUUCUAUCAGUUUUCCUUUGAUUAAGCUUUGGUCACUUUUAUUGAAUGCGGGUGAGAAAUCAAUUCCUUUACUAUCUGUUAAGGAGAUUUCGGAUCUUGAUCAUAGUUUCAAAGUGUACUUUCCAAGAAUCAUCCGCAUACCUUGAUCAUUUUUGGUCCUAGACUUAUUUUAUGGGGUGCAGUACCAAGAAUCGUUCACAUACCUUGCUGUAGGGUUGAGUUUUGAUGCAUGAUAUGCAUAAUUAUCAUGCAAAUACCCCAUUAGUAGUAAAUAUUUAUGCAGUGUAAGCAAACCUUCUGCAGGUCUUUGUUCAAAACACUCAAUUUAUCCUUUGUGUCUGUUUGUUUGAUUUAUGUUUCUGUAAUUGAUUUGGAACCUUUUGUUUUUCGUUUUUAUGAAGCUUCGGAAAGAGUUUAGCAGUGAAGUCGAUUCUGCUAUUGCUGCAUUUCGAGUACUCUCAGCUACUUCAUCUUCUAGUAAUGCAGAUCUUACCAGUCUAUUUCGAGUAGCAGCUCAUGAAGCAAAGAAAUCUCGUGCUCAAAACAGACUUUUAAGGGUGGUAAGCAAUGGUUGGCUUAACUUUUCAUGCAAUUACAUUGGUUAAUUAUUACAUCCGUGCCAUUGUGAUAUUCCAUCUUAUCCCUUCCAUGAUGUUGAAAUUUUUGUGUGUUGAUUGCUAAAGGCUGACAUGCUUGCCCUUAGAUUCUUAUUUACUGUAGAUCAUCUGUAAGACCAAAUCAUCAAUGGCCUGUGAACCAGAAACUCUUCACUCUGGAUGUAGUUUACCUUCACGACAAGCCUGGACCUGAAAACUGCCCUCAAGAGGUCUAUGAUUCACUUGUGGAUGCCCUGGAACUUGUUAGCGAAUAUGAGGGCUACAUCUUGGAGAGCGGUCAGGGAUUAACUCGAGUUCUCUUCCGUUACAUGUGCAUGCUGCUAUCACACCCUCAGCAGCGUUGCCCACAAGACCAUCUGGACAUACCUAAGCCUCUUGCGAAAAAGUUGCCGGCAGCAGAUUCAACGACUACUGAUGAUAGUAUUAUAACUGUGUCCGGCAUAUCAGAAGUUCAGAACAUUAGAAAUUAAUUUUACUGAGGUCAUUUUGCUUCUAAAAGUCUCAUAUGUAUGUAGUUUGUCUGAUGUUGAUGUAAACCUCUUGUUGAGUGAGAAUGAGUAGCCGAUUUGAUCUUGGUCCUAUCUGUCUGUACAAAUUGUGAAUGUUAUGAAUCCCAAUGUUUAUUUUAACCUAUCUGUCGAAGAAUUUUUUAUGACAUUCAAGAUCACGUAAAAUAUAGCAAAAGCAAGAAGUUCUUAGUACUAGUUUGUAUGUGUAUCCCCAUUAAUAUGAAGAGGGAGGUGGGAGCUGGCUUGCUACGCCGCGUCACACGGCACGCGGCAGCUAGGCAUAUUAGACGUCGAAGGAUUCUGGCAUUAAAUGUUAAGCAUUUAUAAACUUUGCCAAGGCUCAAAUUCUCCCAUAAGCAGCCUAAAAUGAGGAUGUUGUAAGUUGAAUUUUGCUACAUAGAACUACAUUCUCGGAAAACAGCUUAGUUGCCACUUUGCCAGUCACAUCACGAGACAUGUGUCGAAAUCUCCCCCGCUCGAAAAAAUAAAAAAUAAAUAAAACAAAAAAAAAAGGUAAGCCUUCCUCAAAGUCUAACGCUACUAGAUUGAAAGGUGAAAAAACUUGAUUGCAUAAGUAUACUACCCAUUGGUAUUGAUGAAAGACUUAUGAGGUUUGAAAUUAAAUCUUUCAAGUUCCCCGCAGAACCCUGCCUUGCCCUUUGGAGUGAGGCUAAGGUUUUCUUCUCUUAUUAAAAAAACCAAUCGACUAUUAUUUGCAUUCCCACAAAACCGUAUGACUCAUUGCUUCCAAUGGUGAGGUCAACAUAUUGGUAAUCAGAAAGAAAAAAAAAAUGCAGAGCUCGAAAAGUUGAAAUGAUAACCAAAAUCCCUCAUCCAUAUAAUUUUUUUUAAGUAGAAGUCAACUUGGAGGGAUGAUCUUAAUCACACAAAUUGUCUGUGACAUCUCUAGAAUUAGUUUUAGUAAUGAAAUAAAUCGUUUAACUCUUUCGCUCAAGAAAUCUGCCGGCAUGACGUGUCGCUUGUGCGUUCCUUGUCCACUUGUGCAUGCUUAUAUAUUGCUUGCACGAGUACAAAGAAAAACUCCAGUUUGAAAAACUUUUUAUACUAAAAAUAAACCCUAAGCAUUAUUAAAUUUGUAUUGUUUUUAAAGUUUGACCAACUGUUUUGAUCUUUUUUUCAUGAACUUGUCCAAGCCGUUCUGGCGCUCUUUAACUAUUAUUAGUCUUAAUAAUCUAUUUCUAAUUGUCAUGAGUCAUGACCAAUCUCCCUUCUCUGUAAAGUGCAUCAAGUUGGUCAUGUCAACUCAUUCUUUUCUUUUUACAAGUGAUGGUGGGGAUAACUAGGUUAACACUUAAAAUUGCUUCCAUCUUCACCUACUUGAAUGACAGAAGAACAUGGGCUCGUGCCUUGUGGGUCACUUAUCUUAUCUUAUUUAACUUUUUUUUAUUGCUUUUAGGUGAAUCGACUGCACAAUCUUAAAUGCAUGAAUGAAUGCUUUAAACUAUUUAAAUUACGAGCUCUUUAUUGUGUUCCUUAGACAGAAGUUAAAACCAUCAUGAUUUGCUGGUUUUGAGUUGGUUAAUUAGUGUUUACAUGGUGUGAAUGUAAAAGUAAAUGGUAAAUGGCUUACAUAGCAAGUUAGUUAUAUAUAAGUUAAAGAAGACACCUCUCAAGUGGUAUGCGAAUCUUGGGGUGGCAUAAAAUAAUUGAGAAUUUAUUUAAAUAUAGUCAAAUUAUUGAAGCUCCUUCAGCUCUCUGUGGAGCCACUUUAAUUUGCUCCAAUAGAUGAUCAUUUUGCUAACAUGUGCCCUUUAUAUUCAUGAUUAAAGAGAAGAGGACUUCAAAUGAACUUUGGACUAUAGGAGAUAGAUAGGAGGAGGAGGAGGAGGAGGAGAUAAAGGAAAAAUCCAUUUCCAGUUUUAAUGGGACUCUGCAUAUCUUCUUCAGCUCACAAAAUUCAGGAUGGCCAUGAAGCUCCAAUGUCCUUUGAAAGGACUGACGAUUCUAAUGGAAUUCAGAUGCACGGUUCCCUUUAUUCUUUGGAAGGAAGCAAAGGAGUAAACCAAGAUAGUGCCAUUCUUUACCAGGUUUGUGAAUAUUUCUUUCCCCUUUAUUAUAUGGAAGGAAGCAAAGGAAUUGUUCUGUGUGUUUCUCUAGCUGCUCAUUUCAAAACCAUAUUGUUUGUUUUUCGCUUUGUCUAUACAUAAAUAUAUAGAAUGGCAAGGCUUGUUUUCUUAGAAAAUCAUCAGCAAUUUCGUUUCAAAAGCAUUCAUGCAAAGCAUGUUGCAUAAUCGGGUUUCAUAUUAUUUUACUAGGCUUCUGAAAGUCUGUUGAUUAUAGCUUUAACCUCUUCUUAUUUUUCUUGUCUUUUCAAUAGGGCUAUGGAUUGGAAGCUGAAGCUUUCUGUGGAGUUUUCGAUGGACAUGGAAGAUUCGGGCACCGAGUGAGUCAGCUGGUGAGAAGCAACCUGCCAUCACUCUUACAAGGCCAGAUGAAAGCUCUUGAUCAACAAGCCAUUGCAGUAGCAGAGGAUGAUGAUUCGAAAAAUCACAUUGACAGAAUAGAAACCGAGUCAGAAGAUUCAGAACCAAGCAAGAAAUUUCACAAAUGGAAAGAAGCCUUUGUUAGCUCCUUCAAAGUCAUGGACAAGGAGAUUAAGCUUCAAGAAAAUCUGGACAGCUCUUGUAGUGGAACCACUGCUGUUGUUGUCAUAAAACAGGUGAGAAAAACUACACAUGAUCAUUGAACAAAUUAUUUAUCUUUCUUUAUUUCUUUGUGUUCGGCUUUAAUUCAAGAAUCAAACAGGGUGAGGAUCUUUUUAUAGCUAAUCUGGGUGACUCAAGGGCAGUCCUAGGAACCACUAGAGAGAAUGGAAUUGAGGCCAUUCAAUUGACCACUGAUCUAAAGCCUGCUUUACCUAGUAAGAAGUUCAUCAUUUUUUUCCAUUUUUUUCCUCUUGUUUAAUUUGAAGUGAUUAUCUGACAGGUGAUCGUUUUUAAUGCAGGUGAAGCAGAACGAAUAAGGGCGUGUGAUGGUCGAGUGGUUGCACUAAAGCAAGAACCUAACAUCCAAAGAGUGUGGUUGCCUCAUAUUGACCUCCCAGGCCUAGCCAUGUCCUGAGCUUUCGGAGACUUCAUACUCAAGGACCAUGGCAUCAUUGCCACCCCUGACGUCUCCUAUCGCCGCCUGACUUCCAAAGAUCGAUUUGUCGUUCUUGCAACGGAUGGGGUAAGCCCUAUUGGAAAUGAAAUGUGUACUUGUUAAGAGUUUUAGCGUUGCCAAAGAAAAAAGGGCACAGUUGCUUUCCUAUGAAUGGCAUUUUAACCACAAUGAUGCGUUUUGUUCUUGGGCUUGGUAUUUAGGUUUGGGAUGUGCUCAGCAACCUUGAAGUUGCAUCCAUUGUGUGGGAAGCUGAUAGUGCACAAGCAGCGGCAAAGGCGGUGACGGAGACUGCGGUGGCCACAUGGAGAAGGAAGUUCCCUUCUGCUAAGAUAGAUGACUGCACUGUGGUUUGCUUGUUUUUGCAAGACAAACUACAUGAUCAUGUUGUGCCUGUAAAGAUAUGAGCUUUUGAGCAAUGCUUGUUGCUUUGUGAUCUUUUUUUAUCUUCAUACAUUUUAACACGACACUAUACUUUUUCAAUUUCUGAUAAGCUAUACUUUUUCAAUUUCUGAUAAGCUACCCGUCCAAUUAUGUACAUAAGCCCACAGGUUCCAUUUUUGGUUAAGACAACAGUUGCUUUCAAGAAUAAAUUUUUGGUCAAAUCAUCCGCCAGUAAAUGAAAUCUUUCAAAACCAAACAGAACCAUUGGCAACCUUCAAAAUGCUCAGUAAAUUUUCAAAAUGUCCACGAAUAAACAAUGAUGUUUUGAUUUGUUUUCUCCAGGCAAUUCUAGAAAGACAUCACAGGGCUAGAAAUUCAUGAACAUAAAUAUAAUAAGACUUGACAUAGUGGCAAAAGGCAUUCUUGAAAUUUCAUUGAAAUGCUUUUAAUCACAAUAGGAUAAGGCCGAUAAACUUCAGUUAAACUCUUUAAUAGGGGAAAAGAAUUAUGUUGCCUCCAGGCAAACGAAACAAAAGAGAACUUUCUGCAUAUAAAAACCCCAUUUGUGAGUAAACUCAAUGCCUACCAUCUGGAUGAAAAAAUAGAAACAGAAGAUCCCGGGCGAAUAUAAAUCCAUUUCCUCUAAUAUUCAAGUGCAUCAUCUUUGGGCGCCUCUCCAAGCAGGUCAUCAUCAUAUGAAACAGGUACCCUUAACCUAUCAUGAACAGAAAGUUGUUUCCCUUCAGUAUUUGACUGAAUGCCUUGAGUUUGCAUUUGACAAAUAACCGGUACGGCAUCUGAAAUAUUAGCUGGAGUAUCAUCCUUGAAUGAAUUCACAAUUGCUUUAGAUGAACCUUCUUUCCCUUGCUGUAUUGGUUGUCUAUUAUUUGUUGACCUGAAUUGCUUCUGCAUGGAGAUAGAAAACAUAAAAAGUAAUCAACGAUGCUGUAGUUUUACACUUUUUCUAAUAAAAGUGAUAUUUAAUUGACGUUUGGGAAAUAACAUCAGAAACAACACUAUGAAUCUAUGAUCCACUACUGCGCACCUCAAAUUCCCUUCCUUUUUUCAUUAUCUCUUUGUAGGCCUUUGGUUCUCGUGCUUUGAUGAUACUCCAUAGUACUCCACCACCAAAUCGGAAACGUUUGCCAUCAUGAGUCAUCUGACCUCCACAAGCCUGGAUCGCAUCCACCUGAAAUUUUUCAUCAUUUCACAAAUGAUAUCCUAGAUACACCAUGGUUUCUAGCAGGGAAAAAGUAUCCAUUCUCCUGAUACUGGAUUCCAUCCGGACUACAAAUAACUAAUAUACGAGAAACAUAGAAACACUUGUAACAACCACAUUUAAUAAAAUUCAGAAAUUACUUAACUAAGGAUAUCGUUCCCUACAAUCAAAGUAAGCUCAAAGAUGUUCAUAAUCACAAAAGUUUCUGUAAACCAUCUCCGGAUAGAGCUUAUGGUUCCUGGGGGAGGAGCAAACAUGAAUGAUGAGCUUUUUGGAGCAAAAAUAGAUGUGUAUUGCUUUGUUACGCGUAUCUAUUAGAGUACUCUUACAUGUGUUUUGCAUGCAUAUUGGCUAAUGCAACUCCAAGAAAAAAUGAUAUCAACCUACACAAAUAGCAUAUGAUGAAGUGGUUCAUCCAGGGGACAUCACAGCUCAGAGCACAAGAUUGAAAGGAGUAAAAUGGCUUCUGCAAGAGAAAUCUGCAAGGGUAGGGAAACAAUAUUGAGGAUCAGAAAUUAUGCAAGGCUGCGUGGCCAAAUAGUGUGCAUAAGCAUCGGCAGCUCUAAGCUGGUCCAAAAUUAAGCAACCCAGAAUCUCACCUUCCCUUGCAAAAGGCCAGUCGAAUCAUUCAAGUCCACUCUCAACAAAGGAUACCCUGCCUUCCCCUUGAAGCUAUAAUGUGAAGGGAACUUAAAAAGGGACAGAUGGCUCAGAAGGUAAAGACAACCUUAAAAGUACCCCAUAAAGCAUAACCAUCCUCCCAAUAACAGGACCCCCAAUUAGCAAAAAAACCAGCGUGUUCAAGAAUCUAUAGAACAGAAUUGGCACAGACAAUAUGAUAGGUGAUUUUUAAUUGACAUCACUGAAACCCAGCUCUGAGUGCAAAUCCCAUGUUCUGAACAUGAGCAGCAAGGUCGGAUCAUCUUAAAGCUAGAUGUGAAGCGGAGUCAAGGCAACCUUAAGAAGUACCCAUAAAGCACGCCCAGACACAACCCAUUCACCCAAUAACAGGAUUACCAUUAGCAGAAAGACCAAGAGUGCUCAAGCAGGUACAUAAUAGAAUUACUUUGAACAAUAUAAUAGAUGAUUUCAAUUGAGAAUAUCACUGAAAACUCCACUGAAAGGUAUUGGGCACAAAGCACAUGUUCUUAAACUGACAGCAAGGUCGGAUCAUCUAAAAAUGCACAUUAAUGCAGAUAAACAUGUACCAAAUUUACAACCAGUUGCUAAUGGCGUCUGUCAAGGAGAUUUUCAGAAGACAAUUACAAAACAUAAUGCAAUGCACACGUAGUUGCGUAUAAAAGAUAAAGAAAACAAUCCCCAAGUUAUAUAAUUUGCUUUGUCACAGCAUUUCCACAAAAGCACACAACGAAGGGCAGCAUACCUCUUUGACGAGAUCAUUCAAUGCAAGAACACCCAGACAACCAACAGCAGUAUAUACCAGAUAUGAUUUCUUCUCUUUCAGUCGCCUACAUGUAUCCAUCACAAACCUGAAAAAGACAUAACAUUAAAAGAAUGUAAAAACCCACAAGAGAGCUCCAAAUUCCUUUUGAAUAUAUGUAAUUUCUUUCGUUCUUAAUCGGGCAGGGCAUAACCUGUCUAUGUCAGUGACAUUAAUUCCAGGGCCACUGUUCCUUCUCCUAUUCCUCUUCUUCUUACCCCUGCGCUUCUGAUUCUUGCCCUGACGUUCUUGGUUUGCUACACUGACAUUGCCACCACUGAUCUGUCCCGAACCAUUUUGUGAGUUAAAAUCCACAAGCUCCCCUUCUUCCACAAGCUCUCCUUCUUCCACAUCAAGCAUCUCAACAUCUUCGCCAUCUUCAAAGUUAUCGUCUUCAAAUACUGCGUCUAGUAUGUUGUGUUCUCCUUCCAUAUAAGGUUUUCUUCAAUGGGGGGAAAAAACGCACCACAAAAUUUAUAAGCACCUACAGAGCAGAAAGCAGGAAGAAAACACGCAGAUUUCCACAGACGAGACAAAAACUGCAAACUCGUGCAAAUUUUCUCUAUGGCAAAUCACCAAACAGAUUAUGCGAGCCCUAACCAGAAAAAAUCACAAGUACAACGAAAACAAAAAAAAAAACGUAAAUAAAUAUUUUUUUUAAAAACCGAUGUACGAACCCUAACAAUGCAAAAACAAACACAGCAAUUCAAAGCUUAUGGAAUUUUCCAAUUAGAGUGCUCUGCUUAAGGACGAUGAAGCAUAACCGCGGCUUUUGGCGUUUGGUUGAUCAGAGGACUGCGUUUCGCUGGUAUGGUCUUUAUAGUGAAGCCUAGAUGAGCGCUGGCGGUAAUCAGUAAUGGCUUGUUUGGCUGCGUGGCAAACGAUGAUAUUAAUCCGGAUUGGGUUAUAGGUGGAAAGGCCCAACCCAAGGACGCUUUGCUUAUCUGUACUGAGCGAGCCCAAAAUGGCUGAAACUUAGUCCAUCCCCAAUCUAUUAGUGAUAUUUUAUGAUUUGUUUUUGUUGAAUACGUAAUUGUUAGUAGGUUAUCUGUCGACGUUUGAUUUCUUUUCAAUAGUGGGCCAUACGUCAUUGGCCAAUCCGUACGAGUCCACAACAAAACUGAGUUGAUGUGGAUUGUUGAGUGUGAAAUUUUGAGGAGUAAGUUUUGGGUGAAAAGCUCGGACCACGUAAUCUAUCUGUCCAACUGUUUUCAUAAGAGGGUAUAAAUUUUAUUGAGCGCCUGUCGGACGGAUGACAUGGUUUUAGAGCAAAGCCAAGCCCAACCUCAUAUUCAGACACCAUUGAUUGGAACGGGUAUGAAGUGGAAAUACAGGCCUUCCUUUAUCUUGUUCAGCAAGCAAUGGUGCAUUUUUGUCCUGUAAUUCAUAAAUCUAAUAGAUGCCCUUUGUCUGCAUCAUCACUUUUGUUGUAUUCUUUAAAUUAUACCUACCUUGUUUUCUACCUAUUCAAACGAGGGGAAGGUGGGCAUGAUUGGUACCAAAGUUUCAACCUAACGUUCUUCAACAUCUAGUAGCUUUUAUAUUAUAAAGUUAAAAGAAGAAAAAUACAAAAAGAAAACUCAUUAGAGCUUCCAGCUCUUGUUUUGAAUGAUGAUAGAUUAAGUCUGAUGUUGGGUUGAAAUAUUCUUUAUUAUGGCUAACUUAGCAUUGAUGUGCUAUGAAAAUAUACGCUGUUAGAUUUAUUGUGAGAAAAAUCAACAGUGAGAUAAAACAAUUUGGUGUUUGAUAAAAAAACAAAAGGGUCCCCACUUGCUCUAACAACAAAAAAACUAAAAAUCUUGCAAGUUAACUAAAGAAACUGUAUUCUUUAAUAAAUGAAAUUUCCCGUUAUUAUCUAUAUAUAUAAAGCAAAAGGCAGAGAAUGGUGAAACAUUCAAAAUACCAGAAAAUACCCUUGGUUAAUGCAAAUAUUAAGAAUUGAAAUUAUUAAUUAAAUGAGGAUAAUAUGGUAAAUUCACAAUUUUUCGUAUUAAAAAAAUUAAAAUUAAAAGAAAAUUCAGAUAAUGGAUCCUAUUUUUAUGGAACACAAAUAUCCAUUAUCUUUUUUAAUUCUAAAAUAAAUUUAAAUUUUUUUAAAAAAAAACCUCUCGCAUGCGCAGAAGCGCGUGCAGAGAGGCUAGUAUAUAUAAAGCAAAAGGCAGAGAAUGGUGAAACAUUUAAAAUACCAGAAAAUGCCAUUGGUUAAUGCAAACAUUAAGAAUUGAAAUUAUUAAUUAAAUGAGGAUAAUAUGGUAAAUUCAUAAUUUUUCGUAUUAAAAAAAUUAAAAUUAAAAGAAAAUUCAGAUAAUGGAUCCUAUUUUUAUGGAACACAAAUAUCCAUUAUCUUUUUUAAUUCUAAAAUAAAUUUAAAUUUUUUAUAAAAAAAACCUCUCGCAUGCGCGGAAGCGCGUGCAGAGAGGCUAGUACGAAUUACGGGUGAAAAAACCAGUGGAAUUAUACGGCGCCAACACUGUAAUUCCCGCAAUAAUACGGUGCCGACGUGUACGCUCCAGAUUGCACCCCUUUCCAAUUAAAGAGUGAGCUCACUGGGGCCCGCAAUCAAUCAUCCAAGUCGCAUUGAAAAAGAGAACCCACGUGGUCACCAAUAAAUAUCAACUCCUCCUCCGACCUUCGAUCUUUGUGUUAUAUGUCAGCUCCACCAAUCAGAUAUCCUCAUACCAAUUUGACCGGAAACCGCCAUGACUCGGUUGGCUAGCGCCGUCGUCCUGUUGUUCCUUGUCUCCCUCUCCAGUUUCGCUGCCGGUAGCCGGGACCUGAUCGGAGACGUUUUACGGUUACCUUCUGAAGCUUCUAGAUUCUUCGGCAGAGGCGAUGACGGCCCUGAUGAGCAAGACGACGGCACCGUGGGGACCAGAUGGGCUGUUUUGAUCGCUGGCUCAAAUGGAUACUGGAAUUACAGGCAUCAGGUCUUAAUUUUACACGAUAUCAUCUUUCUUAAUUCAGAAAUAUUCUUUUUUGUUAUCAAACUUCAGUUGUUAAUGGAAUUUGAGUUAUAAUUUUGGAUGUUAAUUUCAAUUUUUUUUCCCUUCAUGUUUUUUGAAUUGUUUGAUAUCUGAAUUUGGGUAACCUCAUAUUGGAAAGUUUAUGCUUGUAUAAUCUCGUUUAAAUUUGACUUUCAGCUUAUCCAAUUUCUGAUUCUUUUACCUUGUUGCUUUCGAAUUUGUCAAACUAAAUUUUGGAAGCUUAGAGUUUGUUUUGGAACUAAUAUGAAUUUAGCUCAAGCUUGUGUCUUUCUUAUCUUCCUUGAUCUCAUCUCAUUUUGACUAAGACAGAGUUUUAAAUUUACAUGUGGCUUGAGUUUGUUUUGGAACUCAUAUGCAUUUAGUUCAAGUUCGUUUUAUUAAUUAUUAUAUUCCUUGAUCUCAUCUCAGUUUGAAACUUUGACAUGGAGUACAUGAUCUCAACGUUAACCAUAUUUGUAUAGGAGCUGGAUUUCUGUGUCAGGGGUGAAAUUGAUACUUUUGUUGUGUCUAUAUCUUCAUAUGAAUGUCAAUAAAUAUCUUAUUGGUUUCACAUAUUUGAAAGCUAAGCCACCCUCAUUUCUUGAUUGAUGUUUAACACGGACCUUUUUAUCUUGUUUGUUUAGGCUGAUAUUUGCCAUGCUUAUCAACUACUGAAGAAAGGUGGGCUGAAAGAUGAAAACAUUGUUGUAUUCAUGUAUGAUGAUAUCGCUUAUAACGAAGAGAACCCUAGGCCCGGAGUCAUCAUUAACAGCCCACAUGGUGAUGACGUUUACAAAGGAGUCCCAAAGGUCUGUUAUCUUCCCCUCUAGGUGUUUACCUGCUUCUGAAUUGAUAGUUAUAAUUCCCCUCAUGCGGUCGAUUUUACGGUGGCAGGAUUACACCGGCGAUGAUGUUACUGUUAACAAUUUUUUUGCUGCUAUCCUUGGAAAUAAAACUGCUCUUACAGGGGGUACUGGGAAGGUUGUGGACAGCGGUCCAAACGAUCAUAUUUUCAUUUACUAUUCUGAUCAUGGUGGUCCUGGAGUUCUCGGUUAGUAUCAAUUCUGCACAUGACAAUACUGACAUUAUUUUGCCCACAUCCCCAUAUCUUAUCUACUUACUCUUUCCCUAGGGAUGCCUACCAGUCCAUAUAUUUAUGCUAACGAUCUAAUAGAAGUCCUGAAGAAGAAGCACGCAGCAGGAACCUAUAAAAGCUUGGUAAGUUUCUAGUUGAACUGUAAAUAGAUGCUGCAUAUACCAAUAGAGUUGGACUAAUUCGUAGAACUGCAGGUAUUUUAUCUUGAAGCUUGUGAAUCCGGAAGUAUCUUUGAGGGACUUCUUCCUGAAGGUUUGAAUAUCUUUGCAACUACGGCAUCAAAUGCAGAAGAGAGCAGUUGGGGGACUUACUGUCCAGGAGAGUAUCCUAGUCCUCCCCCGGAGUAUGAAACCUGCUUGGGUGACCUGUAUAGCGUUGCUUGGAUGGAAGACAGGUAUGCAGAAUUAUUUUAUUUUGUUAAAUUUUCAAUAAAGGGGUGGGAAGAAAAGCAGCUUAAUGUUAGCUUCAUUUUGCAUACCCUUGGUAAAUAAUAACAAUUUCAUCUUUCCCUAAAAGUGCAUUACUUCUUGAGUAUUGUCACUUUAAGAUUUGCCUCAAAAUAUGAAGAAUAUAUGAAUUAGGUAGAAGUUUGAAACUGUAUCAUUUCAUGCCAGUUGUUUUUUCUUCUUUAAUUCUUGCACUGGUGGUGUGGGUGUUUGGAUUGUCUUUGCAAGAGCAGUUUCUUUCUCAGGUUGGAGAAUGAAACUGUUCAAAUUAUAAUUUUCAUUUGAGAUUUAACAUUUUGACCUUGUGAACAGUGACAUACACAACUUGAGGUCGGAAACUUUGCACCAACAGUAUGAGCUGGUAAGAAUUCGUCUCUUAACACAUUGUUAUGGAACAGAUAGAGAUUUUUUUUUCUUCUUUUGUACAGGAAAGACCAGCUGUUUAUUAUUGUAUGUUUAAAUAAAAGAGAUUGUCUGUAUUUAGAGAAGUCUUGGGGGUCUAGCCAAGAAAUAUCUAGAUGUGAUCCUGCUAGUUGCUAAUGUCAGUUCUUUGAUUUCAUUAUGAUGGCCCAGGUUAAAACGAGGACAGCAAAUGACAAUUCUGGCUUUGGUUCUCAUGUCAUGCAAUAUGGCGAUGUAGGGCUCAGCAAGGAAAACCUCUUUGUGUAUAUGGGGACAAAUCCUGCAAAUGAUAACUACACUUUUCUGGGCGAGAACUCCUUGAGGCCAUCUACAAAAGCUGUCAACCAGCGGGAUGCUGAUCUUGUCCAUUUCUGGCAUAAGGUUAACUCUUACCUUUUUCAUCCGUGAAUAGUUAUUUUGCCUUUUCUUUUAAAUAUCUAGUCUUAAAAUUUAUGUACUAGUCAUCAUCGGUACUUAUAUUUGGAAGUAUUUCAUACUGUUAGAUAUUAUGAUUGAUUUGAUUAAAAGUCAGGAGAGAUCAGUAAUGAUGAUUGGGGAAUACUCCAUGUUUUCAUUGUUUAAACGGUAACAUAUCAUAAGUACCAUGGAGGUUUUGGAACCAUGCCAUUUGCCCUGCUCUCCUGUGAAGCUCCAAACAAAGCAGUAGAAUAUCUCUGCUUGGAACAAGAAUUUUGAAUACCAAAAAGGGAAUGAAACCAAGGUUUUGAUUAAAUAAAAGCCUUAAUUGUUAUGAAAAUCUAAGGUUCUACUUCUGAAUAUUCUGUGGUUUUGUAACUAUUUCUGUGUGUUAGCUGUCAGCCUGAAGAUCUAAGCCCCUUGUUUUCCCUUCUUUUCUUUUUCUGGAUGCAGUACCGCAAAGCUCCUGAAGGCUCACCAAGGAAAAUUCAAGCUCAAAAGGAUUUUGUUGAAGCAAUGUCUCAUAGAAUGCAUAUGGAUCAAACCAUGAAACUUAUCGGGAAACUCCUGUUUGGAAUCAAGAAAGGUCCAGAAGUGCUCAACACUGUUCGACCUGCUGGGCAGCCACUUGUUGAUGACUGGGACUGCCUUAAGACAAUGGUAGUACUUCUGCUGUUCAUUUUCUCCUUAAUGCUGUUAAAACUUUUCUGAUUCCAUCUUGUUCUGCAUAUAAAACAGAUUUUCACAAAUAAUAUAUGUGGCUGUGCCUGAUGGGUUUGUGUGUGCAGGUGAGGAGUUUUGAGACAUAUUGUGGAUCCCUAUCUCAAUACGGGAUGAAACACAUGCGGUCCCUGGCAAACAUCUGCAACGCCGGAAUGACAAAGGAGCAGAUGACCGAGGCUUCAGCACAAGCCUGCACGAGCGUUCCUUCUAGCCGUUGGAGCUCCCUGCACCGGGGGUUCAGCGCAUGAUUUCAAGAAGAAGAAAAAAUGUGGGAUUUGAAUAACCAAUCCGUGGUCAUCUCUAUAUGCAAAACAUAUCUUAGGAUGCAUUUCGAUUAUUGUUAAUGUUAUUCUGAUUGCUUCAGUGUAACCUUGUGUAAAUACAACUCAAGCCCCUGUACUGUAAUGCACGUACCUACUGAAUCUUGUAAGUAAAUAUUAGCAUGUUUGUUGCGUAUGAAUACGUACCUGUUUGCUGCAGCUGGUGUACGCAUCAGGCUCUGGUUAUAAAAAAGUUUGCAAUUACGAUAUGCCUUUGUUUUAUGUUCACUUUGGUUGCUUCAUUAAGGAAGUGAGUGGCUUGUCUCCAUCUCCUUCACCACCACCACUAACAGAACAUAAUUAUCGCGUAACACUUUCAACUUUAUGUCUAUUUGAGUUAUUAUUUACAAUUACAAUUUUUUUAUAUUAAAAUUUAUCAAAUAAUUUUGACAAUGCUUUUUGUACUAGCACUUCAAAAGAAUUAUUUAUUAAACAUGAAGUUGCUUUACUUUACAAUUAAUUAUUUUUAAAGCACAAUAAAAUUAAAUUUUUUAAAAAAGUCACAUCAAUCUCAAAUUCCCCUUCUUUCUUGUCCGUCUCCAAAUGGUAAACUGGUAAUCUAGCUUUUGACCCCCAAAAAAAUGGAAAUCUAGUGGGCCUUUCAUAAGAUAAUGUCAUUAUCAUUGUGUGAGUAUAUUCCGUGUAAUUGAGUAAUGAAAGAUAUCGAUCGCGUUGGGAAUUGGGGAAAGUUAGAAAUAUUUAAGAGACGGAUUUACUCCCUCAAUUAAUGUAAUUUAUGGGUUUUCAAGAAUUAAAUGACGGAUUUUAAUGUGGAACACACAUAAAUUUGUAUACCUGAUGUAAAUUUAAGAGUUGGAAUAAUUUUAAUAUCCAUUAUAGGCAAAUGAACAUGCCAUGCUAUAGGUGUGUGCCCAAUUUCAUUGUGGAGAACGUAGCCGUAGGAGAGCAUGCGUCCAACCCCAAAUUCCCUUUCUUCCUCACCUUGCUCCAACCUGUAGCUGCCAAAAUGUAGGUAAGCAACAGCCUACAUUACGGGUCCAAUAAUGUACAAUUUUGGCAAAGUCCAAUUACUUUAAUGAUGGAAUGAUUGUAUAGUUAAAUCUUACUUAAUAAGAUAAGAGUGAGAGUCAAAUUUAUACGGUGCAUAUUUAUUUCAUGUGUCAAUGCCAAUUAUAUUACAUAUUUUAAUUGAAUAAUACGGACCAUUUAACUUGACACAUGCAAAAUUAUAGAUGAGCUUGUAAUUGUAACAUUAAGAUUCACACAAAAAACGAAACUCACAAUAUUUAGCUGAAUGGAAAAUGUUUUCAAGAUGCAUCUAUCAUAAGUUCUAGCUGUGAACAUUAUUAUAUGGCAGUGUCCCAUCCCAUGGUCUCCCCAAGACUCACAACCCAACAUUUUCUUUUUCUUUUUCUUUUUCUUUUAUUUUUUUAUUUUUAUAAAACGCAACCCAACUUUAAAAAUAUGAUCCAUAAUUGCAUAUUGUCAAACCAACAGUGAAAAAAAAAAAAAAAAAAAGGGAAGCAGGAACCGACGCUCUAGAUUCAACAAUUUUAUUUGGUCAACACACAAAUAUUUAAGCUUGGCUUAUAUACGGUCUAUAAUCGGCCACAGGAACCGGACAUCAAGGACAAUUGUCUGAUAACGUGAAAUCCACGACUCUGGUUAAACUUACCAUGGUUAGUUCACUAUAACCAUACUACAACGAACCGGUUCACCAGAAAAAUAAAAUUAAAAAAUUAAAAAAUUAAAAAAAGGUAAAGGAUGAAUAAAAAAAUAAUUGGGUAAUGCAAAUUAUUGCCACUUAACGGAGUAGUAGAUUCUGUUAGAUUCAUUUGACGAGGCGAAGAGGGGGCGCAUAGUAAGAACGUUGUAACGAGGUUUAAAAGAGACGGAGCUGACGGUUUAAGAUAGGGAGACGCGGGAGCCGUUGGAUUGUUGAUCAAGGGCCGAUAAUGCAAGGCGUUGGACGGUUCAAGUGUGACGGAGAGUGGGAGGGGUCGUAUAAAGCCUGGGUUUUGAAAGGUGAGAGUGCAUUUCGUUCCAUCAAAACAAGAAGAAGAAAGAGGAAGAAGAAGGAGAAAGAGCCUCUCUGACGUUUUGGCCUUCGGUUUUUCUUCUGCUUUAGAAUUUAAAGAGGAAUUCGGGAGAGAAUUCGUAGAGCUGGACUGUGUGUAAUGUUAAGGAUCUAAUUACGAAGCUUUUCUGUGAGCCUGUUGUGUGUUCGCGGGAGAGAGAAGGAGAGAAGAGCUUGCAGAGGUUGGUGAUGGAGAAAACAGAGCUCGAUUUUGGUAGUUUUAAUGUAAUCUGAUUUCUUAGAAUGACCGGGUUAUUUUGUGCAAUUUCUGUUUUGCAGAUACAUUCAGAAGAGCUUUUGGAGGAAUUUGAAGUGAAAUCGAUUGCGAUUUGCUGGGAUAAUUUCCAAGGUGGACCUCAUUUCAUUGAAAUUUACAGAGAAAAGGUCGAGAAAUCUAGUUUAGAGGUGAGGGGAGUUGGAUUUGCUUAAUUUCCUAAACGAUUUCACUCCCUUAUUCUAACUCAUCGUUCGUUUGAUUUUGGUUUCACAGGUACAUUUCCCGGAGAUUUGACCCCUUUUUUUUGAAGAAAUCUCAACUGGGGUAUGAGAUAAAGAAGAACAAGCAUCUCUCAUUCAUGAGUGUCAGGGACAUAGGCUCUAAGUUUCAAUCAUUUCGUUGAUUUUCGGCUCUAGAUUUGCAUUUUGCAAAGUCAGAAGGCCUAGAAGAGCAAGAUUACCCAAAAGAAGCAAACUUUCUUUUGCAAAUUCAGGAUUGUAGCUGCUUGCGAAAUCUCAGUAUAACAGGUGAGGAUUCAUUUUCCGAAUCCUAGAUCAGUGAAACCAAGUCUCGGGCUUAGGAUUUCACUGGCUGAUUUGAUUUCCUUCCAUUUUCGGUUCUUCGAAUUUUGAUAUCUUUCUACUCAAUUUGGUUUCUUCAAGGAGGCUCUCACUUUUCUCUUCUUUUUCCUCAUCUGCAGCAGAGUCCAAGCAAUUGGUUUCUCUGUUUUUUGAUUUUCGAUGUUCAAAAGCAGAUAACUUUGCAACAGAAUUUUAAGCUUUUCAAAUGAAGCCAGCCGAGUUCCUUGACUCUCUCUCUCUCUCUCUCUCUCUCUCUCUCUCUCUCUCUCUCUCGCUCGCUGGGUCUUACAUUUGGAUCCAUCAUCUUUGUCCAUCAUCUUCUUUCAAUUUUCUGUCAUCUGCCUUCUGUGCAAGAAUUUUCAAUUUCAAAAAACUAAUUGACCUUUAUAUUUGGGAAGAUUAUCUCUUCUUCUUCGUCUUCUUCUUCUUCCUCUCCUCCUCCUCCCCAUUUUAAAGGCUUUUAAUAUAUUUUUCUGAAUGAUUUCCGUCUGUAUUAUCAGCAUUGAAAAGAAAAGACCUUCUCUAUGAAAUUUUACCCGCUGUUUUGUGAAAAAUCUAUCUAUCUUUGGUGUUCUUUGCUGGCAGUCCGAAGUUUGUGUCUUUUCCGAAAUUCAAACACCAGCAGAGUGCAAAAUCUUCUGUUUGGUUCUCGGGAAACUGAUACAAGAAAAAACUGAGCUAACAGACGUAAUUGCUCAACUUAUUUAAUCGCAAUUCGUUGGAAGCGUCUGAUAAAAAAAAUAUAUAUAUAUAUCAAAGAUACAAUUUUCAUUCUUUGUCCUUUCCCUGCCUUUUUUUUUUUUCGAUCUUCAUCUUCUCCGUCUGUUUGGGUAGGCCCUGCUUUUCAUUUGAAUUUUAUUUUUAGGCACUCGCAGUUGCAGAGAGCCAGCCACAAUCCAAUUCCAGAUUCUCAGUUUUUGCCAUUUCCGUCCCUAACUUUAAUUAUGAGCAUUAACCGCGGUUAAAGUGUAAAAAAUCAUGUUAACUAACUAACCGCUGUGAUUAAUUCUUGUUUUGGCAUGGGUGGACAGGUGUACAAAAGGAGAUGGAAAGGGACUGUCUUAGGCACACCCAUACUAAAGACACCCACAAUCCCAACACUCGAGACAAAACCGGAGGGGACGCCUCAGCCUCUCUGCUGUUGAGAGCGAGCCCCGAUGCCAUACGACACGCAACGACGUCGUCCGAUUUCGUUUUGCAGUGGGGGAACCGCAAGCGCCUCAGGUGUAUGAAGAUCCAGGUCAAAGACAAGGGCAAAGACGACUCCGACGCCCCGGUUACCCGAACCACAGUCCGGGUCGACCGCCGGGUCGUCCGACCUGAUAAGGACCCGGCCAAUCAGCCUUCCACGGCCGGUAACUCUAAUCAGACGAAUGGGUAUUUGAAUCUCCGUCAACGGCCGUUAUCUCCGCAGCAGCCGCCACUUCAGCGUGUUCUCAGGUUACCACUUGCACUUCACGCUUUUGCUUUAUCUAAUCUAUAUCUAUUGCUUCCACGGGACGUCGUUUCGGUCCUGCCUUUCGUUAACAUGUAGUUUCGUCGUUUUGUGGGGUAGUUGUGGUGGCGUUUUGUCGUUUAAAUUAGUGGCGGGUGGGCCAGGUGCGUGGGUUUUGUCGUUUUUAGUUAUUUUGGGACUUGUUGCCUACGGUUACAUCUGUACAGUUUUGGUGCGGUUUUUAUAUAUACCUUGAUCUCACCGUCAGAUGCAUGAGUCAUAAUCAUCAGAUCAGGAGAUUUUAUAUUCAGACUUGCUUGAUUUUAGAUUUUAGAUUUGUGAGGAAAAAUCUCAGAUGAUUGCGUGGCCAAUUUCUCUACGUCUGUGAAGGUCAAAGAGAAUAAUUUUGUUAGGUAAGUGUUUGUUGCUUUGAUUAGAUUAUUUCAUAUGCAACAAUAGAGUGAUUGCAAAUUCUGUUAUCUUCUUCCUUGUUUGGUUGAAGAGAAAAUCUUGUUUGCGUGAAGGGAAAAUCUCUGAUUUUCUUGUGCAAAUUUGUCGCUUUAGAUUGGAUUGAUUUAUAUGAGUGGGACUGGAUAAAUGGAUAAGGCUAGAAAGCAUGGAAUUUUGUCCCACACCACUGGUUUUUUAUAUUCCUGGCCUGCCAUUAACAUGGCUGUGUUUAAUCCUAUGUGCUUAAUGUGUAGUUGAAUGAAAUUUUGUCGGAGGGUUUUUGAGAUUAGGAGUUUUAAUGAUGAAAUUUGGGGCUGAAUUUGUUGUGAGGCUUAUCUUAAUGAUCAACUCUCCAAUUGGUCAGGUGGGUGAAGAGAUGUAAAAGCCCCAGAAGGAGAGCUCAUGGUAAGUGCAUGAGGGUAGGGUGCCUUCUUUGUUUGUCUUUGUAGGAAACUAGUAGCAUAUGAUUGAAUUAGGUUGCUCAUGUAGUCAUGUAAUCUUUUUGGCUUGAUUGUGCACAACAUAAAACACAUUAACAUAACAAACAACUUAAAUUAGAGAAAGAGAGAGUCUUAGUGCCAUAAGGUCAAGCAUUUACCCUCACAUUCACGGCAAGAGUUUGAUUCUUCCUCGUUCGUGUUUUUCAGGAUGCGGUAUUAAAUUAUGGUAUCAUACAGGAUGGUGUAUCAAUAAGUUGAUGUCAAGCAUGAUUGAUUUGAUACUAGUUCUAGUUUUCUUUUUUGGAAUAAAUGCCUUAUUUAUUGUGAUUGAUUUGUUAUUUAUUUUAGACACGAUGUUAGGGCUGAUUUGAUCAUAAAUCUAGAAUGAUUAGGCUUGAGUAAAUUGAUUUCCACUAGGACUUGUGUAGCAGGCUUAUGUUGCUCAUGGUCACACCGGAUCGGGGCUCCACUACAUCUUAGCAUGAUAGCGUCCGAUCCAUAACGACCGGCACCCUGAUUCCAUGGGCUCAGUGGAAAUAGGAAAUGGGCAACUCCUAUUCCACGUGUCCACGGAAAACCAAUUCUUCAACCCCGUUUCUAGCCCUGGGAUCACUGAUGGAUCAGGCAAUGGAUCCACGCCUUCCACGUUUCAACACGUGUUCCUUAACCCCACAAAAGGCACUCUCAAUCCAACGGCUAAAAUCCUGCCCAAAAACCAGCUGUGCACGUUAUACAGUACAUCACAUCCCUUUCCUCUCUCUCUCUCUCUCUCUCUCUCUCUCUCUCAAAUAUCUAACUUUUCAUUAAAGAAAAGAAAAUUAACAACUCCCUCGUUUAAAAGCAGAACACAAAGGUCCCCCAAAGAAGCCAAAAACCACGCUAAUUUUCUACGCAAAACCCAUUACAAAGCCUCUCUCUCUCUCUCUCUCUCUCUCUCUCUCUCACACCAAUCCACCGAUCUAGAUCGUCUCAAGGCCAUUCCCGUAAUUUCACAACUACCCACAUUAAUUUAAUUUAAUUUAAUUUUUUGCCCAAAAAGUAUCAUUUAUUAUGUUUUGUGCCAGCUUUUUUAUGGGUUUAUUGAAUUCAAUUGAUUUGAUUUGAUUUGAUUUUGAUAUGCGUAUCUGAAUUGUGUAGAAACUCAGAGACCACAACAAGUGCCAUGAGAGGCCAGAGCAACGGAGGCUUGAGGGGAAUUGUUUCACCCGACAACAGAGGGGGUGCGCACGAUAAGAAAGGCAACCACCACCAUCACAACCACCACCACCAUAAUAAUGAGAAUAACAACACCAAGUCUGCAGCUUCUUCGGACACGGCGCACGAUAGUAAAAAGGGGGGAGGUGGGUCUUCAUCGGGAAGCGGCGAAGCAGCGUUGGCGCCACCGAUGGUCUGGCCGCCGAAGUUCGUGAUUGCUUUGACCAACAAAGAGAAAGAAGAGGACUUCAUGGCAAUCAAAGGGUCAAAAUUGCCUCAGAGACCCAAGAAGAGAGCAAAGUUCAUUCAACGCACCCUCAAUGUAAGCUCCUCUAUUUUCCUUUUUUAGUUACUUUAUUAAUUAAUUAGUAUUAAUUAAAACUAACUAGUUUUUUUUAUUUUUUUUCUUUCUCUUUUUAAAAUAACACCAUUGCCUUGCAAAAACAAAUCAAAACCCAGUUUGAUUUUAUUAUAUUUAUAUGGUUGUUUUACCUGUAUUUAUGCAAAUUGUUGUUGCGACAAAAUGUGGACUAGCUUAGAAGGAAGGAAAAGCAAAAAAUAAUAAAAUAAUAGAAUAAUAAAUAGAACUUUCUGGUAUUUGUUUAGUUUGGGUUAAAAGAAGCCGAAGAAGAUUGCUAAAGUGACAGCAAGAACAAGGCAUACACGUGUCCGCCAAGCCAUGUAUGCAUAUACCUAAUAUGCCUAAAAGUUAGUUUGCUGUCCGACUGGAAUAGUAUUAAUAGGACGAUGGUUUGGGUUAAGAUUAAAUUCUAUAUUAUUCAUAAUAAUAUGAUAAUGAAAUAUUUUAUUUAGGGUCGCCUCGUUUAGUGGAAAAUUGAUGUCACACGUGGCAAUACAUGGUUGUUGCUUUUGGGUUGGUUAUCGUGGCGAUGGACGGUGCGUGGCGUCUCAUGUGGCCGCAUGUGAUUUAGUGGGCAUCAGUGGACGUUUAAAGCAAGUGGGCCUUAAUUCUGUACUAACCGACAAAAAAAGGGCAUAUGGGUCGAAACGGACCCUGGGCCUGUUACCGUUGGUUUUUUUUUGGGGGGUUCUUUUUGGGAAAUAAUAUGCUUCAUGUUGAGGGCAUAUAGGUAUUUUCACUAGCCCUUAAUUAUGCUAACUGUUUUCUGGCUUGGACCGCACUGCCAACUGCUGAGCACAAAAGCACGAAAGCUGACUACCCACAAUGCACCGUUUUCGUUUUUUAAGUUCCAAACAUAGCAAAACUCAUCAAAGUGCUUAUCAAAAAGCCUAUCCCGCUUUUUGCCCAUUACCUAAAGCAAAAGCUACGCUUUUGCCAGUCUGUUUUUGCUUGUUUUGGCCUCUUCCUUUUAAUUAGCUGGAAGAUUAUUGUUCUAAUUAGUUUUUUAUUUUCUGUAAUUUUGUUUUAUAGCUGGUAAGCCCAGGAGCAUGGCUCUGUGAUCUGACCCUAGAACGGUACGAGGUCAGAGAGAAGAAGAUUUCCAAGAAGGUAUUUUAUUGAGUAAUUUUCUUCGAUUCAGGGCCUAAAUCAAAUUUCCUUAAUUUGCCUUUAAUGUUGAUAUUUUUAUGCAGCAGAAUGAAUAGUUUUUUUGUGUUUUUGCAUGAUGCUGCAGAGACCAAGAGGGCUAAAGGCGAUGGGCAACGUGGAGUCUGACUCUGAAUAGAAAGGAGUUUUAGUGAAAAGACUAAUAUAGCAUUUUCGUUUUUUUUCUCCUCCUUUUUUUGAAGGUAUGAGAAAAAUGUUAGAACUUUGUAAAAAUCUUCACCUUUCAACCAUCAGAAUAAUGAAUGGAUUCAUUUCCGGUCCUGUAUACAGUCUUGUUCCUCAUCUUCCUACUAAGUUUGUUUAAUCAGAACAAGAAAAAAAAAACAAAUCAUCACGUCCAAGCACACGAACAAAUGAAAUUUCUCUCUUUCAAACCCUAAUUGUGAAAAAUAAUUAAAAUAAGCUUCAGGGAUGUAAUUCAAGUGGUUAGUCAUGACAUGUUACACAAUCCAACAAUUUUUUGUUUUCUUGUCAACCUACAACACAUUUUCUUAUGUCGUAUUAAGUUAGAAAAGGGAAUUAACGGUGUUGGAUAGUCGUCCAAACGCACGUGAGUGUCUUAUGAUUGUUCAUAUAUUAACAUAUGGGUCUCAGUCUAACAUACAUCGAUGACUUACGGUGGAAGUGCUCAUUAGGCAUGGGCAAAAUCAGUUUCAGACUUCACCAUCCGAGUGAAAAAGAAACUCGAGACUCGAUCGCUCUCAAGAUGUGAAGAAAAUCACGAAAUUGACUCUUGAGACGAGAUUUGAGACUCUUUAGAGGUUAGACUUCAAGAAGGAAGAAGAAAAACAACAAACCAUAACUCUCUUUAGCUGACACACGUAACGUAAAACCACAAUAUAUGAAUUUGCAAAGCUAUUAAAGACAAUGACAUCUAAAAAUUUACCCGAGACAGGAGAAAAACCAGAACCCCAACUCCCUAAAGUUACCUAGUCAUUAGCAAAUUGAAGGGCCACGUCUAAUUUAUAAUGAUAAGAGAUAAUAUCAUUGUUUGGUCGCAUGAUUUGUGGAUGCCACUUUACAUUAUGUGGCCUCCUUAAUUGGUAUUUUGAUGUGACACGGAACACUUAACGCGGUAAUUUAAUUUCUUAACGUAAUUGACAAUUUCAAUGAAAAUCCAUGACCUAUCAUAUCAGACCACCAAACCAAACCCAACUGAAUUAAACUAUUGGAAGAGGAGAAAACAUGGGUCCUAAUUCAAAUUAACAUUCAUAAUUCGCCAUCAUUGACGGGAAGACCCGAAUUAAUCCCCUUAAUUAUGCCACGAAGAAGCAUAAACACAUUUUAAGAAUAACAUCUGCUCUGUGAGAGUUUGUGGAGACAGACAGAUCCACCACCCACCAUCCAGCUGGUUCUCAAAAGGCAAUUCUAAUGCUACCUGCGGGUCGUGAAGAAAAGAGGAAGAUUUUUCAAUUUAAUUAGCCCCCAAAAAAUAGCAUGGAAAAUACCCCCAAAGGGCCCUAAAUAUACCCUUACCCACUGGGCAUAUUUGUCAAUAAACACUGAAAUUAGGGAUUUUUUCAGGACCCAAACACAAUUGCUAUAGUCGGUGACCCAGAGCCUAUCAAAUUAUAAACUCAUUACGUGUUGCAGUUGGAAUUACAGCUUUAUUCUGUUAGAAUAAAUGAUUAAUUUACACCGACUUGGCUACGCCGCUUUUUUGGUCCAAGCGAAAAUAAAAUAAUUGGAUCUGGAUUUGUAAUUUGCCGCUUUUUAUUUGCAGGUAAUGAAAAUGAAAUAACAAUUUGGAUAUUAGUUAAUUUUGAUAUCACAAGCUAGACAAACACCAUUCUCAAAGCAACUCAAGCAUCAAACACAGGAGGAGGAGGAGGAGGAAGACAAACGAAAUAAAAUCAAUGAAUUAUUUACUCAUAAUAAGGAUAAUAAUCGAAAUCCACAAAUACAAAACCCAUAGUAAUAAACCAAGUGCAUUAUAUAUGUAGUCUAUGCACCACAAAAACCCAUAUGACACUGAAAAUCCUAUAGAUCCAUAAUCACCAGCUACUAAAAUGACAAACGCUACUAAUAAAAAACCAAUCAGAAACCCAACCGCUCUCUACACAGCCCCAACCAUAGUUGCAGUAGUAAGCGAAGACUCAAACCCUGAGCGCAGAUCCGAAGACGAUAGCGGCGAAGGCGGCGGCGAAAGCAGAGAUGAACGACGGGGAGAUGGAGGCGGAUGCGGAGGUUGGGCUAGGAGCUGGAGAUUCGGCGGCCUGAGCGGCGCCGAUGACAGAAAGGACGGUGACGAAGACCGCCAUGAGAGCCACGAGUGAAGUUGCCUUUGAGACUGCCAUUGUUGAUUGGUGUGAGAGUUUCUUGUGCUUCGGAAUCUAGGGUUUUGGGAAUACGCCGAGAGACUGAAGCACAAAUAUCAGAGGUGGAAUGAAGUAGGCUCAAGGAACGUAUUUAUAGCGGGGAUUUUGGGCUGGGGUCGGGCAGCCUGGGCAGCUGCCCGGUUCUACAGGCUGGCUACUUGUGAUUGGUUCAGCGCGACAGCUCACACCGCUGGUCGGGGUAAAUUUUUCUCUGUGGGCCCCACUAGAAACCAGUGUCUACGCGGAGUCGUUU